CGCCCAGCCAUUUUGCACUAGGAACUCGGUCUGAAAUUCCGGGAGGAGGCCUCUGCGUGCGGCACCCUGUGAUCCAGUGAAACUAGACUAAGCACAAACCGAGAAAUGAAGGUUGUCUUCAUAUUCAAGAAGAGGAAAUUAUGCAUAUCAUGUACCCUAGAGGAGAGAAAUCCCGGAGGCCACCUCAAGAGUUAAUGUCCUGAUUCAGUAAGAAAUGACCAGAGAACUCCAAAACAAUUUGAGGCAUAGAAUUGUAAUAUUCAACAGGUUAGUAAUGAGAGAGAGAGAGAGAGACAAAGAAAAAGUUUGAGAAAAUAAUCAUGUGUUUGCAUACCUAAUUUUGGAAUUCAGGGGUCUCAGCCAAGAACUCACAAAGGUAGUGGAAAAAUUAUUUUUCUCCUCUCAAGGGAAAAUCCACAAAGGUGGGCAGAGAACCAGAGACAAGUUUGCCUUGAGGUAAGUUACAAAAUCUGCUUUACCCUUUGGUUUUCUUUGCUUUAUAGACUUCUGGGAAUAAAGAGCAAGUCCCCAAACCAGAAGAAGAUCAAAUAAGAG
Molecule: long non-coding RNA, 555 nt
Filed under: Sus scrofa (pig)
Lineage: Eukaryota; Metazoa; Chordata; Mammalia; Artiodactyla; Suidae
Description: lncRNA (ENSSSCG00035067398.1, ENSSSCG00065033542.1)
Source: RNAcentral